This 75-nucleotide antisense RNA is filed under the name Streptomyces sp. NRRL WC-3618. Its description in RNAcentral is "ASpks TB sRNA". It matches the Rfam family "ASpks TB sRNA". Lineage: Bacteria; Bacillati; Actinomycetota; Actinomycetes; Kitasatosporales; Streptomycetaceae. The record is from Rfam by way of RNAcentral.
CUUCAACGAACCCAGCCACAACGGCCGGUCGGCCAUCCGCUCCUUGCCGUACGUGGCAAGGACGGCCUGCGCCUC